GAACGGUGUAGGAAUUACAACAGUUUGUAUACGUGCCUCCCACUUUUCAAGGGACCAAAAGUAAUGGGACAAUUGGCUGCUCAGCUGUUCCAUGGCCAGGUGUGUGUUAUUCUCUCAUUAUCCCAUUUACCAGGAGCAGAUAAAAGGUUCAGAGUUCAUUUCAAGUGUGCUAUUUGCAUUUGGAAUCUGUUGCUGUCAACUCUCAAUAUGAGAUCAAAAUUCUUUCCCUGGUGAAGAAAACACCCAUUCACAACAAUUGGCCAGAUCAAGAACACUCUCCAGGAGGUAGGUGUAUGUGUGUCAAAGUCAACAAUCAAGAGUAGACUUCACCAGAGUGAAUACAGAGGGUUCACCACAAGAUGUAAACCAUUGGUGAGCCUCAAAAAC
Molecule: non-coding RNA, 387 nt
Organism: Pelobates cultripes (western spadefoot toad)
Lineage: Eukaryota; Metazoa; Chordata; Amphibia; Anura; Pelobatidae
Source: the annotation of a GenBank genome assembly